This 186-nucleotide non-coding RNA is filed under the name Allobosea sp. RAC05. RNAcentral also lists the same sequence under 1 other name. The record is from RNAcentral. Lineage: Bacteria; Pseudomonadati; Pseudomonadota; Alphaproteobacteria; Hyphomicrobiales; Alloboseaceae.
CUAAUGAUCGUCCCCGACGGUGCCUCCGCGAGGAGGUGAAAAGGGAACGCGGUGUGAUGCCGCGGCUGCCCCCGCAACUGUAAGCGGCGAGUUCCGCGCCAUCGGCCACUGGGAGCGAUCCCGGGAAGGCGGCGUGGAAUGACCAGACCCGCGAGCCAGGAGACCUGCCGUCGACAGUGUUCCUAU